RNAcentral lists this ribosomal RNA (119 nucleotides) under Triticum aestivum (bread wheat). Lineage: Eukaryota; Viridiplantae; Streptophyta; Magnoliopsida; Poales; Poaceae. The record is from RNAcentral.
GGAUGCGAUCAUACCAACACUAAAGCACCGGAUCCCAUCAGAACUCCGAAGUUUAACGUGCCUGGGCGAUAGUAGUACUAGGAUGGGUGACCUCUUGGGAAGUCCUCGUGUUGCAUUCC